This 646-nucleotide ribosomal RNA is filed under the name Pseudotomentella sp. YM335. RNAcentral describes it as "eukaryotic LSU rRNA". The stretch from base 272 to 425 matches the Rfam family "5.8S ribosomal RNA". The record is from RNAcentral. Lineage: Eukaryota; Fungi; Basidiomycota; Agaricomycetes; Thelephorales; Thelephoraceae.
GAAGUAAAAAGUCGUAACAAGGUUUCCGUAGGUGAACCUGCGGAAGGAUCAUUAAUGAAACAAAUGUCAAGAGGGGUUGCAGCUGGCCUCAACGGGCAUGUGCUCGCCCCGAUUGCACAUCCAUCUCUCACACCUGUGCACAACCUGUAGCUUGGGAUGAUCACAAUGUUGGAAACGAUGUUGAAAGCCCUUGCUAUGAAUUUUUACACACACGAAUGCAAGUGAUAGAACGUAUAAAGUUAUAUAAGCGCGUAACAGCGUAAAUAAAUACAACUUUCAGCAACGGAUCUCUUGGCUCUCGCAUCGAUGAAGAACGCAGCGAAAUGCGAUAAGUAAUGUGAAUUGCAGAAUUCAGUGAAUCAUCGAAUCUUUGAACGCACCUUGCGCUCCUUGGUAUUCCGAGGAGCAUGCCUGUUUGAGUGUCAUGAAAAUCUCAACUGCCUCAGCUUUUUAUAGUUGAAGUGAAGUUGGACUUGGAGGAUAAUUGCUGGCGCAACUCUGGUUGCUUGUUGGCUCCUCUUGAAUGAAUGAGCUUUCCAGUGGAUCGUGCUGAUGUGAUAAUUAUCUACGUCAGACAUGCAGAGGGUUUAGCUCUCCUACUGGAACAGAGGGGGGGAUUGAUGAAUGACAAAUUGACCUCAAAUCA